Molecule: ribosomal RNA, 492 nt
Filed under: uncultured bacterium
Lineage: Bacteria
Description: partial 16S ribosomal RNA
Rfam family: Bacterial small subunit ribosomal RNA
Source: RNAcentral
AUUGAACGCUGGCGGCAUGCUUUACACAUGCAAGUCGAACGGUAACAGGCCUUCGGGUGUUGACGAGUGGCGAACGGGUGAGUAAUGCAUCGGAACGUGCCCAGAGGUGGGGGAUAACGCAGCGAAAGCUGUGCUAAUACCGCAUGUGAUCUGAGGAUGAAAGCGGGGGACCAAGCAGCAAUGUUUGGCCUCGCGCCUCUGGAGCGGCCGAUGUCAGAUUAGGUAGUUGGUGGGGUAAAGGCCUACCAAGCCGACGAUCUGUAGCUGGUCUGAGAGGACGACCAGCCACACUGGGACUGAGACACGGCCCAGACUCCUACGGGAGGCAGCAGUGGGGAAUUUUGGACAAUGGGCGCAAGCCUGAUCCAGCAAUGCCGCGUGCGGGAAGAAGGCCUUCGGGUUGUAAACCGCUUUUGUACGGAACGAAAAGGCUCUGGCUAAUACCUGGGGCUGAUGACGGUACCGUAAGAAUAAGCACCGGCUAACUACGUG